UGUCGUGAGAUGUUGGGUUAAGUCCCGCAACGAGCGCAACCCCUAUCUUUAGUUGCCAGCAUUUCGGAUGGGCACUCUAGAGAGACUGCCGAGGAUAACUCGGAGGAAGGUGGGGAUGACGUCAAAUCAUCAUGCCCCUUAUCUUUUGGGCUACACACGUGCUACAAUGGCUGGUACAGAGGGCAGCGAUAGAGUGAUCUGGAGCAAAUCCUAAAAGCCAGUCCCAGUUCGGAUUGUAGGCUGAAACUCGCCUACAUGAAGCUGGAGUUGCUAGUAAUCGUGAAUCAGAAUGUCACGGUGAAUGCGUUCCCGGGUCUUGUACACACCGCCCGUCACACCAUGGAAGUUGGGGGCACCCGAAGUCAGUCGACAAAGACUGCCGAAGGUGAAAUCAAUGACUAGGGUGAAGUCGUAACAAGGUA
Molecule: ribosomal RNA, 422 nt
Filed under: uncultured bacterium
Lineage: Bacteria
Description: bacterial SSU rRNA
Rfam family: Bacterial small subunit ribosomal RNA
Source: RNAcentral